This 169-nucleotide small RNA is filed under the name Enterococcus cecorum. Its description in RNAcentral is "Listeria sRNA rli28". It matches the Rfam family "Listeria sRNA rli28". Lineage: Bacteria; Bacillati; Bacillota; Bacilli; Lactobacillales; Enterococcaceae. The record is from RNAcentral.
UUUUUAUGGUAUACUAUUUAUAGCAAGUGGACGGUAGCGACCCCUGAAAGGUAGGUGGUGCUUAUGAAUGACUCUAAGCAAUCUACACGAAAGGAGGAUCGCAAUUUAUGAGUGCGUAUGAAGCAAUUAACUUAAUGCUUGAGUUCGGUAUUUUUAUUCUGACUCUUUU